UGAUAGAGGCGCGGAUGUCAAGAGUAGUCUCCCUCACACGGACAGGCACAGAGGGAGAGGAAAGGGGCAGCCGCCGAGGUUUCGGGAUCCCCAGCCUGUGGGGCCGGAGCCGGGCCGGGGGAGAACAUCCCACGGACUGUCACCUGAGAGGGUGGAGCGCUGUCGU
This 166-nucleotide non-coding RNA is filed under the name uncultured Dysosmobacter sp. RNAcentral's name for it is "Lysine riboswitch". It matches the Rfam family "Lysine riboswitch aptamer". From Rfam's summary of the family: Riboswitches are metabolite binding domains within certain messenger RNAs that serve as precision sensors for their corresponding targets. The record is from RNAcentral. Lineage: Bacteria; Bacillati; Bacillota; Clostridia; Eubacteriales; Oscillospiraceae.